AGUGAACGCUGGCGGUAGGCCUAACACAUGCAAGUCGAACGGCAGCACAGUAAGAGCUUGCUCUUACGGGUGGCGAGUGGCGGACGGGUGAGGAAUACAUCGGACUCUACUUUUUCGUGGGGGAUCACGUAGGGAAACUUACUCUCAUACCGCAUACGCCCUACGGUUGAAAGCAUUGGAUCUUCUGACCUUGCGCGAUUGAAUGAGCCGAUUUCGGAUUAGCUAGUUGGCGGGGUAAAGGCCCACCCAGGCGACGAUCCGUAGCGAGUCUGAGAGGAUGAUCAGGCACACUGGAACUGAGACACGGUACAGACGCCUACGGGAGGCAGCAGUGGGGAAGAGUGGACAAUGGGCGCAAGCCUGAUCCAGCCAUACCGGGUGGGUGAAGAAGGCCUGCGGGUUGUAAAGCGCUUUUGUGGGGAAAGAAAAGCAGCAGGUUAAUACCACGCUGUUCUGACGGUACCCAAAGAAUAAGCACCGGCUAACUUCGU
Molecule: ribosomal RNA, 491 nt
Filed under: uncultured bacterium
Lineage: Bacteria
Description: partial 16S ribosomal RNA
Rfam family: Bacterial small subunit ribosomal RNA
Source: RNAcentral